Gadus morhua (Atlantic cod) is the source of this 2573-nucleotide long non-coding RNA. RefSeq lists it as uncharacterized. The transcript is spliced from 3 exons. The record is from RefSeq and is a predicted model, not a curated record. Lineage: Eukaryota; Metazoa; Chordata; Actinopteri; Gadiformes; Gadidae.
CUUGCGCUUACGCUUACGUAACUGAGCAUAAAUCGGCCUUAAGACGGAGGCGUAAGUGAAGUAGGAGGCGUAACUUGUACUAGGAGGCGUAACUUGUACUUUUCUAAAUCGCGGUCCACGCGAGAUCUUUCUCUUUUCGCGGUAAAAAAAAGCCUUGUAAAUCACGGUUCACACGAGAUUUUCCUUGAAGUCGGAUCUUCAGAUAUUCAUGUCGAUAAGUAAAAAGAAGUGGAUUAACAAUAAUGAUUUUUUUUGUUUUUACAAGCUUAAUGAACUCUAGAACUAGGGCAGACUACUUGUGGUUGUGAUACUGUUAAAUAUCCUUUACGAAAUGUUCGAACGCUUAGGCCUACUGUUUUAACGUUGGGAUCAGGCCGCAUGAAAUGAUGUGAAGGGGUGGUUUCAACCCUGGACCAUAUGUUUGACACCCCUGCUUUAUGUUAUAAGGUCAUGUUCAUGAGGACCUUAUGCUAGGACAGUCACAUUCAUAGGACAGUCACAUUCAUAUGCCCUCAUAAAGACAAGAUGAUAGUGAGUGCAGGGGUUUUCUGAUUGGUUGCACAAUACACAGAGAUCUUGCACAAAGGAUAAAUCCUGGGGAAUGGACAGAGAAAACUGGGUACCAUUUUGAGGUAAGUAAUAUUCAUUUGUAUCAAGCUUUACAGCCUGCAUUUAUUUGCAAUAGCAAACUUCAAUCAGCACCAUUGAAAUCAAGGCUGAUGGUGGCAUUAUUUUGUUAGAGGUUUCCUCUGCAAACCAGUGGGAAUGACUGGAGUCUUUAUGAUAAUGGUAAGUCGUAGUUAAAUGUUUUCAUGUCUUGCUGUCAUUCGUGUGUUCACCCAUUCAUGUUUUCCUUGUUUGUUGUUUUUGGUGCAGUUGACCUUGUACGUUGCACUUGAUGCUCCAUUCGACUACACCAUAGUGGAUAUGCCAGCCCUUAGGAGGUGGUGGUGUAUCAUGCUGAUGGAGAACUUCCAACUGGACAAGUACUUAUUUAACAUAAGGGCAUUUACAGAUUCUCACAUGAUUCAACCUUUAUUAGCAGGAUUCAUGCUUCAAGUCAUUGCAUUUCUGAUUAUUUUUUAGCAUUUUCCACUCUUAUCUCCCUCCACUACCUCAUUUAGCCAUGGCAAGCUUUUGCACACUGGACCAAAUAAUCCAGGGAUCUCCUAAAAUGUCCUCGGCAGACUGUGACACAUCUGAGGAAGCGCAAUUUAGAGGAGAUGGAGGUAAUACGUUUGCCUUUCAUAGAAUGCCUGGUCAUAAACACAGAUGAUGGUUGCGUUUACAUUUGAUAGAUGAAAAAGUAGACAUCGUGACAACAAGAUUAUUGGCUUUUAUUAGUAACACCUGUGCUUACCUUGCUACUUCCUGGAAAACUGGCUGCUGCAACAUGGGUCCAUUAACCAGAAAUAAAUACCGGUAACAUAAUUAAAAUAGUAUGAACACACUAUACUGACUUUUGCAUGUAGAAUCACUUUGCAUGUAGAAUCACUGCAUGUUGAAUCACCAUCAACAGUAAGACCUAGCCAGGCAGCGCCGCCUAGUGGCUCCGCACAAUUAUCAUUUCGUUCCACCACAUACGAAGUGAAAGCGGAUGGUCAUAUCAGGCUAAGUAAGACCCCAGCACAGCACACUGCCCCCCCCCCCCCCCCCUACCCUGUCAUUACCAGUAAGAUCCCCCCCCAUCAUAUGAAGAGCUGCCACAAAAGCUCUGCCCAUCCUCAGUAAGCCCCCCGCCUUUCAUUCUUCGUAAAUUAGUCCCAUUUCCAACCUACUCCCUUCUGUAUCGAAACCACCAUGUUGUAUUCCCUUGAGUAUGCGCCGAAGUAGUACAAUUCACAAUAAACAUGAACAUAUCUGUUGUAACUCUGCCUUUGUAUUCUAUCAGGCCAUGAGUGUGGAAGAGCCAGACCUCAAGGCUUUGAGAAGGGAGGAAGAGAACCAGUGAAAACAACGGUAACAUAAUUGACUAUACAUGUGUUUCUUGUUUAUAAACAUUGUGCCUGGGCAUGCAAAUCCGGGGCAGAAAGUCAUCUACCAUUAUAGAAUGACUAUCAGAAAGCCCAGUUUAAAUGUAUUGUUUAUUAGUUGUGGUUAGCCUACUAAUCCCCCGUCUAUAGCCAGGAAGGCUUGCAGACACACCCUCAACAUAUUCCCAAACAUACCCUUUGCAUAUUUGAGCCUUUGUCUAUCUAAUUAUUUGACUUUAAGAUGAAAGCUACCUUCUAAGGUGCUAGCUAUGCUUACAUUACUUUACGACCUGCCACAUUUGAGAUGCACACGUUGGGAGAUGCACACUAAACAGUCACAAAAUACUCUAUACUGUACAGGCUAGUAGAUGUUGCUUGCUUCUUUCUGCCCCGAGUAUGCACAGUGCAACAGUGAUGACGUACCUGAGAAAUCCAUGUAUCUAUCAGUAAUAUUUAUUGUAAUUCAUUGUUUACUACCUCAUGCAGGACCUUGAAAACAUGCAGCAAGCGAUCAAUGACAAUAUGUAUUCAAUACAAUUAUUUGAAUUAUUAAUCUGCUGUCUUUUUGUUAAAGGUAUAAAGUAGGCUAAACUUCGGCCC